AUGCACGCUGGCGGCGUGCCUAAUACAUGCAAGUCGCGCGAACGGACGAGAAGCUUGCUUCUCUGAUGUUAGCGGCGGACGGGUGAGUAACACGUGGAUAACCUACCUAUAAGACUGGGAUAACUUCGGGAAACCGGAGCUAAUACCGGAUAAUAUUUUGAACCGCAUGGUUCAAAAGUAAAAGACGGUCUUGCUGUCACUUAUAGAUGGAUCCGCGCUGCAUUAGCUAGUUGGUAAGGUAACGGCUUACCAAGGCAACGAUGCAUAGCCGACCUGAGAGGGUGAUCGGCCACACUGGAACUGAGACACGGUCCAGACUCCUACGGGAGGCAGCAGUAGGGAAUCUUCCGCAAUGGGCGAAAGCCUGACGGAGCAACGCCGCGUGAGUGAUGAAGGUCUUCGGAUCGUAAAACUCUGUUAUUAGGGAAGAACAUAUGUGUAAGUAACUGUGCACAUCUUGACGGUACCUAAUCAGAAAGCCACGGCUAACUACGUG
This 496-nucleotide ribosomal RNA is filed under the name uncultured bacterium. RNAcentral describes it as "partial 16S ribosomal RNA". It matches the Rfam family "Bacterial small subunit ribosomal RNA", at positions 29 to 507 of the family's 1533-position model. The record is from RNAcentral.